Long non-coding RNA from Ananas comosus (pineapple), 740 nucleotides. RefSeq lists it as uncharacterized. The transcript is spliced from 3 exons. NCBI's taxonomy places the organism in Eukaryota, Viridiplantae, Streptophyta, Magnoliopsida, Poales, Bromeliaceae. The record is from RefSeq and is a predicted model, not a curated record.
UUGGAAGGUAUUCUAACCUGAGCGGGAGGUCGACCGACCUUUGGGUCAUCCUUGGUUGGAUUUGGGAAGCCUUUAGAGACUUAAUUGAAGCAGCUUUGGGGCUUCGUUGUGCCGUUUGUGAGACUUCUUGGACUUGUUUGGAGCCUUGAUCUAGGUGGGUCGGACCUAACCAGAGCAAGUGAAGCUCCUCUAUGUUCUAUAUGUAUUAUAGAAAUGUGUUAGUUGUGUGCUUAUGGGAUAGCUAUAGAACUUGAGAAUUCGUCAUCAUAACAUUUACUAUAUUGACAUAGAAUCUCUAUGAAGUAGAGAAUCCUCACGCCUAAAUGUAUUCAUAUUCCUGUUUGGUUUAGUUGAAUAACACUGAGACACGUUAUUAUGCUUAUGAAACGUAGAGAACCAUGACAUUCUCUUUUUACUUGCUUGAUUACAAGUAGAGAACAAUGACAUUCUCUUGACUCUGAAGUAGAGAACUAUGACAUGCUUAUGCCUAUGUUGAUAGUGCCAUGAUAGUGAAAGAUUCUAAUGCCAUAUGUAAAUUAGCAUUACUUCUGCAUGCUUGCUUACUAAACGAGUGGAUUCUAGUGGUUGUUAAUGUUUGUUAUACUGAAAUGUCGAUCCAAGGAUCGAGAAUGAGAACAUUGCAAAUGAAAUUAUGAUAAUUGAGGCAUGUGAACUGUGGAACACGCUUGCUUGCCAUCGUGCUCAUUCGCACACGCUUGUGAGGGUCGCUCCCUACAAGC